This 510-nucleotide ribosomal RNA is filed under the name uncultured bacterium. Its description in RNAcentral is "bacterial SSU rRNA". It matches the Rfam family "Bacterial small subunit ribosomal RNA", at positions 17 to 518 of the family's 1533-position model. The record is from RNAcentral.
UUCUGGCUCAGGAUGAACGCUAGCUACAGGCUUAACACAUGCAAGUCGAGGGGCAGCAUUGGAGUAGCAAUACUCAGAUGGCGACCGGCGCACGGGUGAGUAACACGUAUCCAACCUGCCGCUUACUCGGGGAUAGCCUUUCGAAAGAAAGAUUAAUACCCGAUGGUAUAAAGAGUUCGCAUGUUCUCUUUAUUAAAGAAUUUCGGUAAGCGAUGGGGAUGCGUUCCAUUAGAUAGUUGGCGGGGUAACGGCCCACCAAGUCUACGAUGGAUAGGGGUUCUGAGAGGAAGGUCCCCCACAUUGGAACUGAGACACGGUCCAAACUCCUACGGGAGGCAGCAGUGAGGAAUAUUGGUCAAUGGACGAGAGUCUGAACCAGCCAAAAGUAGCGUGAAGGAUGACUGCCCUAUGGGUUGUAAACUUCUUUUAUAAGGGAAUAAAGUGGGGGACGUGUCCCUUUUUGUAUGUACCUCAUGAAUAAGGAUCGGCUAACUCCGUGCCAGCCGCCGC